Long non-coding RNA from Oncorhynchus tshawytscha (Chinook salmon), 3549 nucleotides. Lineage: Eukaryota; Metazoa; Chordata; Actinopteri; Salmoniformes; Salmonidae. The record is from Ensembl.
AGCGUGACUAGGGCUGCCCAGAGUAAACUACCCCCAGCGUGACUAGGGCUACCCAGAGUAAACUACCCCCAGCGUGACUAGGGCUGCCCAGAGUAAACUACCCCCAGCGUGACUAGGGCUACCCAGAGUAAACUACCCCCAGCGUGACUAGGGCUACCCAGAGUAAACUACCCCCGGCGUAACAGAGUAGGCCUCGUCCAGGCCCAUCACUGGGCUCGAACCUGGACCCUUCUGCACAACACUCACAAAGCAGCGUUUACCCGUCACAAAUAACUACUUCAAGGACUGCUGCUACAGAGACAGAUGUACGGAGCCAGAAUACGCUUCUGCCACCAUGGAGCGGCCAUGCCAGAGACAGAGCAAGGCAGCACCAACCACAACAAGUCAAAUCCCACCCAGUCAACCAUUAGAAAUGCUUUGGAUAAUAUAUUCCAUUUGGUAGAUGCUAUUAUGAAAUGCUCCGGUGACUGUCUGCAGGAUCUUUAGGUAUAGUGGGAUGUUGUCACACUACAUUGACCAGGCGCAUAGACUCGGCCUGAAAGCUGGCAUUGGGAACUACGAUACGCUACUCCCGAGACUAAUUCUACUUAGCUUAGCUGUUUGUAGCCGGAGCAUCAAGAGAGCGGGUAUACUACUGCAGCAGUGUUUACGCCAGGCCUGGUACUGGUCCUCCUUUCCAAACUGCUACUACAGGAACACACCUAAAGCACUCGCAAGGUCCUUCCUCUUUCUCUGAACAACAUCCUGUUAACCGUUCAUACAGAUGUGAUUGUACUGUGGUAUAUAUAUAUAUAUAUAUAUUUUUUUUUUACCGUGAACAAUGUUUUGUAGUCUGUUAAUGAAGUGCUUAUGCUGAUCAUGUACCAGGUAGCACUUCUGAUAUAUUUUUAACAUUUUCUUGUUUUUAGUAACGAAGAGACUUAUAUGGACAGCAUCAGUAUUCAUUGAUGGUAAUAACAGUAAUGAGGUAUGUGAAGAAAUGUGACAACUUAGCUGUGAUUUAAAAGCUGUUUGGAAUCAAACUGAAGAUACGGGGGAGCUUCUAUUGGCUGAAGUGGUUCCCGCUGAAUGUACUCAGACCCCUUUAUUCCACGUGAUGUGUUAAAGCCUGAAAUAUAUUUAAUACAUUUUGAAUGCUGUCACCCAUCUACACACAAUACAAAAGUAGCGAAUUUUACAGAAAUAUUCAACCCCCUGAGUCAUUACAUGUUAGAAUCACUUUUUGGAAGCGAUUACAACUGUGAGUCUCUUAAGAGCUUUGCACAUCAUUUUUUAUAUAUUUUUAUUUAUUUUUUAACAUUCUUUAAGCUCUGUCAAGUUGGUUGUUCAUCAUUGCUAGACAGCCAUGUUCAAGUCUUGCCAUGGAUUUUAAGUCCAAACUAACUCAGCCAUUCAGGAACAUUCAAUGUCGUCUUGGUAAGCAACUGUAGUGUAUAUUUGGCCUUGUGUUUUAGGUUAUUGUCCUGCUGAAAGGUGAAUGUGUCUCCCAGAAAGUAGACGGAACCAGGUUUUCCUCUAGGAUUUUGUCUGUGUUUAGCUAUAUCCUGUUUCUUUUUAUUCUAAAAAAAACUGCCUAGUCCUUGCCAAUGACAAACAUACCCAUAACAUGAUGCAGCCACCACCAGGCUUGAAAAUAUGAAGCGUGGUACUUGAUGUUGUUUGCUCCAAACAUAACGCUUUGUUUUCAGGACAAAGUUAAUUUCUUUGCCACGUUUUGCUUUAGUGCCUUAUUGCAAACAGGAUGCAUGUUUUGGAAUAUGUUUUAUUCUGUACAGGCUUCCUUUUCACGCUGUCAUUUAGGUUAGUAGAGUAACUACAAUGUUGUUGAUCCAUCCUCAGUUCUCUAUCAUAGUGAAAUCCCUGAAUGGUUUCCUUCCUCACCGGUAGCUAAGUUAGGAAGGACACCUGUAUCUUUGCAGUGACUUGUGUAUUGAUACACCAUCCAAAGUGUAAUUAAUAACUUCAACAUGCUCAAAGGGAUAUUCAAAGUUGUUUUUUUUACCCAUGUACUAGGUUCCCUUCUUUACGAGACAUUGGAAAACCUCCCUGGUCUGUGUGGUUCGACCUGUUUUGAAAUUCACUGCCCGACUGAGGGACCUUGCAUGUGUGGAGUAGUCAUUAAAAAAAAAUCUAACACAAAUAUUGCACACAGAGUCCGUGCAACUUAUGACAUGUUAAGCAAAUUUGUACUCCUGAACUUAUUUAGGCUUUCCCUAACAAAGGGGUUGAAUACUUAUUGACUCAAGACAUUUCCGCUUUUCAUGUUUUGUAGAAAUUUUCAAAAACAUAAUUCAAUAUUGUGAGGGUGACACAAUCUCAAUUGUAUUCAUUUUAAAUUCAGGCUGUAACACAAACAAAAUGUGUAAAUAGUCAAAGGGGUGUGGAUACAUUGUAUCGAUCUUUCCUUAUGAAUCUAGCCCUAAUUAGACUUUGUUUGAAGAAAAAUAAGAGAAAUAAAAAAAGGUUUUCACGAGUUUCCCCAAUAGUGGAAACAAGUAUUUAAGAAUCUCUUUGAAUGUGUACUCUCCUUUUAAACUUGGCUAUUCAUAUGUUGUUGUCGUCAUUGACAACCGUACUGUAGCUCUUUUGUCGUCGUUUUAUGCAUUGAUUGACCUGUGAACGCAUUACAUUUAGAUCUAACUAUCAGUAGGAAUAUGUAUAAUCAUAUGCUGUUCAGCGAGUUGAACCUGCAGAUCUGUUGUUCUGGAGUACAGGCUAACGAAACAAUGCUCAUAUGAAGUGCUAGUUGACUGUGUUGUCUUUUUUUUUCUUGAUCUGUUAAGACUGCUGGGACCUUGUUAAAGUUACAGGUGACAUAGACCCUGUCUGCCUUAGAGGAUAAAGCUACAGGUGACAUAGACCCUGUCUGCCUUAGAGGAUAAAGCUACAGUCAUGUCUUUAGUUGUAUGCCUGUUCUUUCUAUUGAAGACCCUUCUAGGGUUAUGUGCAAUGACAAUGUUUUGUAAAUGUGUAAUAUUUAACCUUUUAAAGUUGUAGAAUGACAAGCUUGUAUUUUUCUCAAUAUUUAUAAAUGCUACAGUACUACCCUUGAGCAGGUUCAUACAUGCGAUGGUUGUCUGUUGGCACACAGGGUUCUGGGCGUGUAAUGAUAAAAGCAUCUCUGAGUAGGACUGCUGGAUCUCGGAUCAAGUCUCGCUGGUCCAUGUAAUAUUCAUUGUAAUCUAAAACUGAUCCUAGAUCAGUAAUCCUACUCUGAAACGUGAUAAGAAUACAGGCCCUUGUGUUGGAAGUGUCUAAAAAUCCAUUUUGUCAUAGGUCUUACUUACUUUCUAUGGUUUUGUACAUUAACUCCCAAGUUGUGGUAAUAAAAUGCAUACAAGGCUCUAAAUGCUACAUGACUUAAGGCCAUUUUAAUCUAAAUAAAAAUAAAGUUAAUUCCAUUAGACAACAAAAUUAUGGCAAAAUAAAUAUUAACCAAUGGGUUCCAUAGGCAACUCCCAGCUGUUGUUUUAAGUAGGUACAGUGGGGCAAAAAAGUAUUUAGUCAGCCACCAAUUGUGCAAGUUCUCCCACUUAAAGAUGAGAGAGG